CGAGUACCCGUGGCCUAAUGGAUAAGGAAUCUAACUUCUAAUCAGGGGAUUGCGGAUACGAGACCCACCGGGUGUGC
Marchantia paleacea is the source of this 77-nucleotide non-coding RNA. NCBI's taxonomy places the organism in Eukaryota, Viridiplantae, Streptophyta, Marchantiopsida, Marchantiales, Marchantiaceae. The record is from the annotation of a GenBank genome assembly.